UAUACACCAUAAGUUACAGGUUUUUCCGAAAGGAAAAUUAAAAAGGAACCGUGUGUAAAUCACGGGCAGACGUGCUACCGUAAGUUUCGUACCACACGAUGCAACAAUUUAUAUCCACUGAUAAAAUUUUAUUGGGAAGGAUGUUGCACCGGAAACAAGCCGGGAUACUUGCCUUUAAUUUUGGUCGGAG
This 190-nucleotide non-coding RNA is filed under the name Arachidicoccus ginsenosidimutans. The record is from RNAcentral. Lineage: Bacteria; Pseudomonadati; Bacteroidota; Chitinophagia; Chitinophagales; Chitinophagaceae. RNAcentral also lists the same sequence under 1 other name.